AUACGGAGGGUGCAAGCGUUACUCGGAAUCACUGGGCGUAAAGCGCGCGCAGGCGGCUAUUUAAGUUGGAUGUGAAAGCCUACGGCUCAACCGUAGAACUGCAUCCAAAACUAUUUAGCUAGAGUGUGGGAGAGGAAGAUGGAAUUAGUUGUGUAGGGGUAAAAUCCGUAGAGAUAACUAGGAAUACCAAAAGCGAAGGCAAUCUUCUGGAACACUACUGACGCUAAGGCGCGAAAGCGUGGGGAGCAAACAGGAUUAGAAACCCUAGUAGUCC
This 274-nucleotide ribosomal RNA is filed under the name uncultured bacterium. RNAcentral describes it as "partial 16S ribosomal RNA". It matches the Rfam family "Bacterial small subunit ribosomal RNA", at positions 523 to 796 of the family's 1533-position model. The record is from RNAcentral.